UCGAUCUCAAAUCAGGUAGGACUACCCGCUGAACUUAAGCAUAUCAAUAAGCGGAGGAAAAGAAACUAACAAGGAUUCCCCUAGUAACUGCGAGUGAAGCGGGAAGAGCUCAAAUUUAAAAUCUGGCGUGCCUCUGGUCGUCCGAAUUGUAGUCUGGAGAAGCGUUUUCCGUGUUGGACCGUGUAUAAGUCUCUUGGAACAGGGCGUCAUAGAGGGUGAGAAUCCCGUCUUUGACACGGACUACCAAUGCUUUGUGAUGCGCUCUCAAAGAGUCGAGUUGUUUGGGAAUGCAGCUCAAAAUGGGUGGUAAAUUCCAUCUAAAGCUAAAUAUAGGCGAGAGACCGAUAGCGAACAAGUACCGUGAGGGAAAGAUGAAAAGCACUUUGGAAAGAGAGUUAAACAGUACGUGAAAUUGCUGAAAGGGAAACGCUUGAAGUCAGUCGUGUCUGCCAGGACUCAGCCUCGCUUCUGCUUGGUGCACUUUCUGGUUUGACGGGCCAACAUCAAUUUUGACCGUUGGAGAAAGGCUUGGGGAAUGUGGCACUUUCGGGUGUGUUAUAGCCCUUUGUCAUAUACGGCGGUUGGGAUUGAGGACUGCAGCACGCCUUUACGGCCGGGGUUCGCCCACGUACGUGCUUAGGAUGUUGGCAUAAUGGCUUUAAGCGACCCGUCUUGAAACACGGACCAAGGAGUCUAACAUGCCUGCGAGUGUUUGGGUGGAAAACCCAUGCGCGUAAUGAAAGUGACAGCUGAGAUCCCCCUCACAAGGAGCAUCAGCGCCUGGACUUGAUCUAUGGAGACGGUUCUACGGUAGAGCAUGUAUGUUGGGACCCGAAAGAUGGUGAACUAUGCCUGAAUAGGGUGAAGCCAGAGGAAACUCUGGUGGAGGCUCGUAGCGAUUCUGACGUGCAAAUCGAUCGU
Molecule: ribosomal RNA, 921 nt
Filed under: uncultured fungus
Lineage: Eukaryota; Fungi
Description: eukaryotic LSU rRNA
Rfam family: Eukaryotic large subunit ribosomal RNA
Source: RNAcentral